Long non-coding RNA from Daphnia magna, 6152 nucleotides. RefSeq lists it as uncharacterized. The transcript has 6 exons. The record is from RefSeq and is a predicted model, not a curated record. Lineage: Eukaryota; Metazoa; Arthropoda; Branchiopoda; Diplostraca; Daphniidae.
AUCUCGCUGAGAGCUGCUCUGCAUAUUGACGCAACUUGCCCAUUUCCUUUAGUGUGAAAAACAACUUCUGCCAAUAAUGACUUACACUCAGAUGCCUGUAAGGGUAUAUGAGACAAUGCCUUCUUUGGUCCAAAUUCAAAAGGAGUAUAGAAGAUCCAAUAUUUUACCUCAGCAGUUGAAAGCUCGCCAUAAAAAUGUAAGCGGCGGAGGACAGCCGUCAUGUACAUUUGGAACCCCGUCCGACCAACGGCCGUCGCCAUCUGGCCGAAAGCAGCUACGCAGCGUAUUUUUACUUCUGUUGAACGCGGAAAAGAGUGCCAAUAGCAUCCACGACUAGGGCUAAAGCAGGGUCAUUUUUAGGGAUGCUGCUGAUUGCUAACGUUAAAUAGGAAACGAGUGAGUCUGCAUGGAGCUUCAGCUCCCAGUCAAGCAUUGGAGCAAUUGUUGAUACAGCCAAAAGAGCUUCUUCUCGUGCCAUUCCGAAAGGGAAUUUUGUUAGAAGACUCAGCAGAACAACGCAUAUCAACUUUUGUACAGCCUCGUGGCAUUGGCAUCCCACACGGUCCGGUAGCUCGACAACCUACAUGUGAUGAAGAAGUUGUAGCAAUACUACUUUUACAAUUCUCGGUAUCCAAAUGCCUGACCUUACGUAGCAAUAGGAGCAAUUCAUUCGUAGUUUCCAACACGACCCAAUAACAAUCGGUGGGAGAGGUAAGCAGCAACUGACGAAGAGCUUCAAAGGCAGCUGUUAGACGUCUCUUAGCGGCCUUGACGAGCUGAUCGGCUAUCAUGUCAUAAUAGGGUGACAGCACAGAGGUAGGUGGCCGUAUAUCUCCAUCCGCCUACAUCCAAAUGGAAAUGUAUUAGACAUAACACAGUAUGAAACAAUGCACUCACUUGUUGUCGGGCUAGUGUGUGAGAGGCUUUGACAACUGAUGUCAGAGCAAUACAACUUGAGGGUGACACUCGACCUUCGCCGUCGUUAAGGCAAGCAAUUAAGUCAUCUAGAAGCAGUUGAAGAUCUUGUAAAGUUGCGGGAACCACUAAUAAUGGCGGAUAUUUUUCGACCAUCCAACUGAUAACCCAGAGAGCAGUGUUGCGUAUUCUUGAACUUGCCUUAUCUCGUAUCACUCCUCGAAUCAGAGGAAAGAUAUGUUUGAGAGUUUUUUCUGCAUGUUUCGGGUCCAUUUGUUUGAGGAAAACUAACAUAGACCAAAGAGCUGCAUGGCGGUGUCUCCAAUCCGCAUGCUACCAUCAAAAGGGCAUUUUAAAAAACGUAUAAUUUUUCUAGUAGUAAUGUUUUACCUGAAUUUUCUUUUCAACAAGAGGUAGUACGUAACGAUCUAUAGUGUCGGGGUAAUCUUCACAUAGCUCACUGAAAUAUAUUAUCACCUCCCUCGGUGGCGUCCAACCGUCGGGUGAUUGCUUAUUCUUGAAAGUUUCGCCUCGAUUCUUUCGAGAAGCUCGAUCAACCUUCGAUAUCGUAUCACUUUUACUUUGCUUUUUCUCCGUCGCAUUAGAAGCUUCUAGAUCUUCCAAAGUUAGAUCUCCCUUGAAAACAGUGUCGUAACAUGCCUGUUCGGCUUUGACGGAGGAAUUGUUAGCCACGUCAGAAUCCUCAGGUGAUAAAUUGGCAAAAAUUUCUCCUCUAACCAAUUGAGCGAAAAGGCAAGGAACGAUUUUGAUUCUGUUAUUUUCUACCAAAUAACAGGAGGCUUCUCUUUGUUCCGUUUGGAGUAUCCGCCUUCCCUCAGGAUCGCGAGGAUUUUCCACCUGGCUCACAGCCUUCCAAAAUUGUAGACCCAUUUCGUGAAUAUCACCUUCUUCUGAAUUUAUUGCCGCCGUGGUUAUCUGCGUGAGAAAUUAGAGUUGUGAGAACGUGUUUCGGUUUAGACAAUACGUGCCAAUUGUACUGGGAUGAUGACGUCGAUAUAGUCUUUCAGGUGUUGAUAACAGAAAGAUGCAGCUUUGAUCAGCAACGACAAGGCUAUCGACCGAGUACCAAUAUCAGAUGAUUCGGCGGCUUCGAAAAUAGCUUGCAUGACAAUUUUAUGUUCCCCCUAAAGCUUGAACAUUUCUUAUAUUUUUCUUUUACAAUUACCAUAACGUCUUACUGAAUUUUUGAAAUAUGCAUGGGCGGGCUCGAAACAAGACAUCAGCAUGUUGAGGAUUGCUUGCUGAGCUCUAUUUGAGAGCUGAUCCAUGCGAAGGCUGGCGAGCAAAGGUGCCAUUAUGUAGCCAACAUAUUCAGCCAUUCUUUCCGUUUUCUACAAGUAGGGAUAUUCACGAUCCUUCACUGCUUAUGCAAAAAAGAAACAACAUACCAACUUUUGACACAUAAAUGUCAAUGCUUCCACAGCUGAUUCUUUCCCUCCGCUGUCCAAUUGAUAUACGAUGCUGGAUAAUGUAGGUACGAGAUCGGGCCAGUUAUUCUUAAGCGGUAUUUCCAUCACUGCGAUGCAAGCAAUUAUCUCGACAACGGUAAUUGAGUAGCAUAAUGAGGUUGUAGGUAAAGCGAUCAGAAGGUUGCUUUUAAUCAUGUCACGAACGUCGGCUGCAAUGGCUCUCCAACGUUUUUGCUGUUCCAUUUGCGGCACAGAACCUUUCAUGUUCAACUGCAAUUGUAGCUGAAGUGCUGCGCGCCUACAAGCCACUGGAGAGAAUUUUUUAUGGUCGGCCAUUAUUACCGACAUAAAGCACAAGAAUUGGUCCUGUUAUGGACCACAUGAAAAGUUAAUGGUAGUGGUGGAACUGUAUCACGUUCUUUCUACUCACCAAAUCACUUUCAGCUAUCUUACCGAGUUCCAGUUCUGCUAUGUUCUCUUUCUGACCUGUAUAGUCUCCUGUAAGUGCAUGCCAAGAUAAAAGUUUAAAUUAGAAGGUUAACACUAUGCCAAUUUAGUUGACCUGCUGAUGUCUUGGAAAUGUACCUUCCGAGCACACCAAAGGAAGACUCUCUAGCAUUUUGACGACGAAUUCCAGUGGGAGCAUCUUGUUUAAAAUAUUUUGGGACCAACAAAUAAUGACGUUUUUAUUAAAACUUUUUUUCCCCCUACAAACUCUUUGCUUCAGUAGACAAUCGGAAACUGGCGUCGGGAUAUCUGAGCGCGAUUUGCUUUGUCUGCCUCUUGGUGGGAGAUCAGAAGCUAAGGUGAGCGGUCAGAGGUACGCAUUUUUCUAUUUGUCCGCAAGGUGACCAGCGACAGCAUUAAGGUUAAUUACUAUGUCAACAAAUUUUAUUUUUGUGCCUAUGAAAAUUAACACACAAAAUAAAUCUCACGUUUAAAAUAUUUUCUUUAAUCAGUGAUAAGUCAUGGCUUCUGCAUCUCUGUAGAUGGCUUUCCGCCGUUCUUCGUGCGGAUGAAAUGGGAAGUUUCAUGGCUGCCACCAACCUGCAUCGUUCAGAAUCAGUAAUAGGCUUUGCAAUAUCGCUGAUCAACAUAGCCAUCCCCAUCCUACAAUGCAUUUCCUUGGAAUCAUAAGCAAAGUAAAAGUGUCAACAACAAAUCUGUGGCAAAAUAUGUAUAUUUUUUUUCCAACAUGGUUUAAGAUACUUGCAAGUAGUUUUUUCAAGAAUUUCAUCUAAAAUAUUUUUUUACAGAGCAUUCAAACUGUUUUGAGGUGACUAGUGUUAGGUCAAUAAUUUUUCUUUACUGUACAACAAGUUAGAAUUACUCCUCUUUUAAUAGAAUUGGAAGGAAGCUCAAAAACUUACAUGCUUCAGAUAUCCAACUUGAUGGUGAAGUGAUAGGACAUCUACUCAUAUUAGCAGUUGACUUUGUAAUGUCUGCCAAUGAGUUAUGAGGGGCUCUGAUUAGGAUAUGUGAAAGGCCCAAUGCUGAAUUCCCAAUCACCAACAAUAGAUAGAGGUAUGUAACUUCUCCAUUCUAAAGUACUAGAUACAAAGAGUGAUUUAAGUUAAGUGUGUUUUUUUGCUCUCCUGAUUUCUUGAUUGAUGGGUUUUGUGUUGGUCCAGUGCUAAAAACAGGCAGGACUUGUAAGCAAGAAGUGCAAAUCAAAGACUAAUCUGAUACACAACUUUGAACUUUAACUGAACUUGUAACUUUAGAAACAGGGGAAAUUACUGUAGACACUAUCAGUACCGGUACAUGAUUCCUGAUAAUUAUCCCACAUAGACUUUAGACUUGUAGAAAUUGUCCUACAGGAUUUCAAAACACAUUUCGAUCGGCCUAUCGUUUAUCAAUUUCCCUGUAAAGCCUAAGACGCCGAAUACGGAUUUGUUAAAAAUGAGGUAUGGAAUCAGAAUACAUUAAAAAGUUUGCCUUUAAGUUACUAGGAAAAAUAGAGAGAAAAUAUAAAUGACCCGUUGGUCAACGUUUGAUCAUUGGUGAGGUACGCUGAAGAUUCGGAACAACGGAGUUGGAAUGAUUUGAUUUACGAAUGUUGCUUAGACAAAUGAUCUUCACACUCUUUAUAGGACACGCAUACGGAGUUGUAUCAUUGGCCAGAUUUAGAUGAGAAAUAUUAUGAACCGUAGUAUAGACUUUUGACAUCGAAAAAUCAAUCAGCUUUGUCGUCUCGUGAAAAUUUCUUAAACUCGCUUUUUAAGAGAAGUUCACGUGAUGACUUGUUGACUAUUCCUUAAAUAUAAAUGCACAGUUGUUGGAAAUAAUGGAUGCAUUUGUUUUUCGUCAAACAAAUUAAACAUUGUUAAUGUGCAGCUAGGUGUGUUGUUGCUCUCCCUUGUAAAACUACCCUUUUUCGCCAAAUUGUUAAUCUCAUUCUUUUGUAACGUUUGAAUGUCGCCCAAAGCGGAAGGUCAUUCGAGGCGUUAUGCCAUUUCUUGAAAUGGAACAUUCAGAAAAUGUGGUAUAUGUUCGCAAAUGGUUAAGAUCUAUUCAGAUCGGUACCAUAAAGUAUGACUGAAGGAAAAGGGUACGUAGGUGAAGAACAGCUCUGGCGUCUUUGGUAAGCGGAAAAGUUACUGUAAAGGGAAGCGUCACAUGACGGUUUUAAGGAUGGACUCUUUCGUUUGCUAUGCCAAAUGAAUCUGUGCUUGGAACUGACAGGUGGUGUUUAGCAGUGGCACCCAAUCUUUAUUCUUAAAAGCCAGAGGUGUUCUUCAAUUUUCAGGGGGACUGAUUGAUGAUAGUUGUUGGUUAAACCAUGAAGAAUACCAAUAUAUGGAUAAGUAGAGGGGUAUAAAAGUAUAAAACAAUUAUUUAUCAUGUCAUUUUCAUUCACGCAUGCGCGACAGUUCGUGAGCAGACGAACCAUUGAAAGAGCCUUGCGCAGUCUAGCGUGCAUCUAGCCAGAUACUAGUAGAACCAUGGACUACUACAUCUAGAGGACGGGACUCUUUUCCUAUCUCGCCGUGUUAAAGCCCGUCGGGUGGGUCAAUUUCACGGGGAAAUAUAUAAAACACAUCAAUCGAUAGAGCUUUAAAAGGCGGUUACAAUUAUGCAAAUGGAUUUUAGAAAAUCUUUGAAAUGAAAUAGAUAUUUAAGUUUUAGUAUUAGGAGAACGGGAAGAAAGUCGUUUCACCGGUGCCCCCUAGCGACUAAUGUAAGUUCUAGUUACCAAGUCCUUGUCAAAACAAACAAAACAAUACAAAGGUUCGACUGCUAUUCUAGAAACGUUUUGUGUGUGACAGAUUUUUUGACAAAUUUUGCCGGUCGCAGACGUUUAGUUGUAAGAGCUUCUGGAACUUGGCCGCUAGGUAGCACCGGUGAAACGGACUUUCUUCCCUUUCUCCUGAAACCUCGAAGAGUCUCGUCCUCUAGAUGUAGUAGUCCAUGGUAGAACCCGAAACAUUGUUUGAUAAGUACUGUCAUAUUGCGGUUACAGGUUUUCACCAAGUAGCCAGUUAGAAAAGGGUUUAAUCGUGUUAAAUGUAUGAUUUUUCGAUUCGAGUCUAUUUAUUUGUCAGAACUGAAAUUUUACUUCUAGAACUUUUAAAACAACGCAUAACUUUUAUUAACAAUAGUUUACUUUUACAACUAUAAAAAUGUUGUUAACCAUGUUAACCAUGUUAACCAUUCUAGAAAACAGCUAAAUUUUAAUGUUUAACGGUAUUGUUUACAUUAUGUGUAAGGAAAAAUGAGCUGCGUUGUAAAAGGGUGUCAUCAUACCCAGGGCCUACGACAAUGAAAAUUGUAAACAAUACCGUUAAACAUUAAAAUUUAGCUGUU